Molecule: ribosomal RNA, 434 nt
Filed under: uncultured bacterium
Lineage: Bacteria
Description: partial 16S ribosomal RNA
Rfam family: Bacterial small subunit ribosomal RNA
Source: RNAcentral
AGCGAACGCUGGCGGCAGGCCUAACACAUGCAAGUCGAACGAACCUUUCGGGGUUAGUGGCGGACGGGUGAGUAACACGUGGGAACGUGCCUUUAGGUUCGGAAUAACUCAGGGAAACUUGUGCUAAUACCGAAUGUGCCCUUCGGGGGAAAGAUUAAUCGCCUUUAGAGCGGCCCGCGUCUGAUUAGCUAGUUGGUUGAGGUAACGGCUCACCAAGGCGACGAACAGUAGCUGGUCUGAGAGGAUGAUCAGCCACAUUGGGACUGAGACACGGCCCAAACUCCUACGGGAGGCAGCAGUGGGGAAUCUUGCGCAAUGGGCGAAAGCCUGACGCAGCCAUGCCGCGUGAAUGAUGAAGGUCUUAGGAUUGUAAAAUUCUUUCACCGGGGACGAUAAUGACGGUACCCGGAGAAGAAGCCCCGGCUAACUUCGUG